This 393-nucleotide long non-coding RNA is filed under the name Struthio camelus australis. RNAcentral's name for it is "lncRNA (ENSSCUG00000016127.1)". Lineage: Eukaryota; Metazoa; Chordata; Aves; Struthioniformes; Struthionidae. The record is from RNAcentral.
GGACAAGAUUUGUGAGUGGUCGUGUCCUUUCCCUCCACAAGCUGUGAACGAAGAGAAGCCUGUUCUCUGUCCCUGCUGAAGGAACUUCCAGUUCUUCUGGCUUCACCUGUGAGGUGCUUAAUUCCAGCUGGGCAUGCCCUAGGGAGCCUGGGCACUCAAUUUUCGAUGUUUGGUGGUGUGGGGUGCUGUCACCAUUCUGAAACCCGUCCCAAGGGAGACGAGAAGGUCGCUGGUUGCUUGACUUGUUUGGUGCUGUUCUGAAGAUGCCGUCGUUUCAUGAGAUGCUGGUGGAUUUUAUGAGGAUUACAAUUUAAAACAAAGCUUGCAACUUCAGUUUUUCUUGUUACGUGACAUAAAUGGCUACAGAAAGGACUUGGGUUCUGAAGAUUCAAA